UGAGUAACCUGCCCUUAACUCUGGGAUAAGCCUGGGAAACUGGGUCUAAUACCGGAUAUGACUCCUCAUCGCAUGGGUGGGGGGUGGAAAGCUUUAUUGUGGUUUUGGAUGGACUCGCGGCCUAUCAGCUUGUUGGUGAGGUAAUGGCUCACCAAGGCGACGACGGGUAGCCGGCCUGAGAGGGUGACCGGCCACACGUGGGACUGAGACACGGCCCAGACCUCCGUACGGGGAGCACG
Molecule: ribosomal RNA, 239 nt
Filed under: uncultured bacterium
Lineage: Bacteria
Description: partial 16S ribosomal RNA
Rfam family: Bacterial small subunit ribosomal RNA
Source: RNAcentral